RNAcentral lists this ribosomal RNA (301 nucleotides) under uncultured bacterium. Its description in RNAcentral is "partial 16S ribosomal RNA". It matches the Rfam family "Bacterial small subunit ribosomal RNA", at positions 509 to 807 of the family's 1533-position model. The record is from RNAcentral.
CAGCCGCCGCGGGAAAACGUAGGGUGCAAGCGUUAUCCGGAAUUAUUGGGCGCAAAGAGCUCGUAGGCGGUUUGUCGCGUCUGCUGUGAAAACUGGAGGCUCAACCUCCAGCCUGCAGUGGGUACGGGCAGACUAGAGUGCGGUAGGGGAGAUUGGAAUUCCUGGUGUAGCGGUGGAAUGCGCAGAUAUCAGGAGGAACACCGAUGGCGAAGGCAGAUCUCUGGGCCGUAACUGACGCUGAGGAGCGAAAGCAUGGGGAGCAAACAGGAUUAGAUACCCGAGUAGUCCCUGUCUCUUAUAC